CAAACUGGAGCUUGUUUAAGUAUUUCAUUUACAUUGAAAAGAAAUUAUAAUUUUAAUUAGUUUGA
RNAcentral lists this transfer RNA (65 nucleotides) under Talbotia naganum. RNAcentral describes it as "Talbotia nagana tRNA-Val". Lineage: Eukaryota; Metazoa; Arthropoda; Insecta; Lepidoptera; Pieridae. The record is from RNAcentral.